RNAcentral lists this non-coding RNA (96 nucleotides) under uncultured Megasphaera sp. RNAcentral's name for it is "SAM riboswitch (S box leader)". It matches the Rfam family "SAM riboswitch aptamer (S box leader)". From Rfam's summary of the family: The SAM riboswitch is found upstream of a number of genes which code for proteins involved in methionine or cysteine biosynthesis in Gram-positive bacteria. The record is from RNAcentral. Lineage: Bacteria; Bacillati; Bacillota; Negativicutes; Veillonellales; Veillonellaceae.
UUCAUCGAGAGCAGCUGAGGGACUGGCCCUAUGACGCUGCGGCAACCCCCAAUGACGGGAAGGUGCCAAUUCCAACGGAGAUAUCCGGCAGAUGAG